GCAAACACCAAAAAAUUCUGUCCUAGAUGUUAUGCUGAUAAAGAAACCUGCAUUUCAAAAGGAAUGGUAAGACAGUCUGAAGAUACCAGAAGAAUACUAAACCACUUAUCCAUUAACAACAGCAGAGAGUUGAGACAGGCUCAUGGAUUAAAACCAUCUGAAAAUCCAUUUUGGGAUAUUAUUGAUCCACACAGGGAUAUUCCAGUAGGAAUUUUACAUUGGUUGUACCUUGGCCUUGGUAAACACAUACUGAAAGCAUGUAUGCUAGAACUCUCUGAACCAAAGCAGGAACAGUUGGAUGUAUUAAUUGAAAGCAGUGAUCAGAGUGGGUUUCAAACCAAACUAUCAAGUGAUAUUGUUAGAUACAUUGACAGCAGACAAGGGAAAGACAUCAAA
Molecule: long non-coding RNA, 396 nt
Organism: Ostrea edulis (European flat oyster)
Lineage: Eukaryota; Metazoa; Mollusca; Bivalvia; Ostreida; Ostreidae
Exons: 3
Source: RefSeq, a predicted model, not a curated record